Hypanus sabinus (Atlantic stingray) is the source of this 2496-nucleotide long non-coding RNA. RefSeq lists it as uncharacterized. The record is from RefSeq and is a predicted model, not a curated record. The transcript has 3 exons. Lineage: Eukaryota; Metazoa; Chordata; Chondrichthyes; Myliobatiformes; Dasyatidae.
GAUACUCAACUGUUUGACUCAUCUUUGCUAAGCUCUUUGUUCUCAAUUUAAAGGAAGACCUCAUCUUCAAUGGAAGCUGCCAGAUUAUAAUCAUCUUACAAGUAACAGAGGACCAGCAGGUCGCUUGUUGAGACAAGACAAAUUACAGCGACAUUACGCUGCCUGCUUGCAGUCAGUCUUGCCUGAGAAAGUGGACCAUCGAGUCAACUGAUGCUGAGGACGAGCGGGCUGUAUGCCUGGGAAACGCAGAAGAGGAAGGCAAAGAAAAAAAAAUAUGGACACUGUGAAAGAAAUAACAGAUCUAAAUGUGCGAGAUAACACUGACGCUGCGAGGGAUCGUUCGAUGUGGAGAGCUAUGAUGGCCCAUGUGUGUAACAUGCAAGGCACAUGAAGGCGACGACGAUUUCCCUACAUGCCAUUCGUUCAACUGGAAGGUCCUGACUCUUAAACUGCUUUCUCCACCUGGCAGGGAAGGGAAAGAAAUGCUGGUGGAUGCGGUAUGAUGCGCACAGGUCCAACCAGUCAGUGGGAUACAGGGAGUGUGAGCAGGAACAGUAUCCUGGGGUGGCAUAUGGUGUUAUGAAGGUGGCACUGAGUGGCACGUACUGGAUAGGCAGCUUCUAGGCCUGCCCACGUCUCCCCACAGGAUGGUGCACCUGAUACGUGCUGCCAUACUUAUACCACGCCAGUGCCCUGGAUGAGCAUGCUGGUUGGCAUAGUAAGAGGGCUAUUACAGAGAAAGGAAGGUUUUGGAUGAUCACCUUUCCCAGCAUGGUAUAGCCAGACUGGCCAUAGAUUACCUGGUCACAAAGAAAGGUGGCACUUGUGUUGCUAUUGGUCAAGAUUGGGACUCCUACAUUGCAGGUGAGUUAGGGAACCACACUCAGCUGGCUGAUCACAUCUGAGAGUCGUGGAUAAGGUUAAGUGGGAGACCAGGUCAUUACACUCUAGGGUGGGGCUGGUGGCCUUUUGGGUGCAGAGAGGCAGGUGGACUACUGUAGUACACUGAGUGAGUAUUUGGUUUACAGUACCGUGUAUUAUACUUUUGUGUAGUGGGGUGUUUGUGAGGGUCAUACUAGUCUGAGAAUUGAAUUAUCAUGAUGUUGCACCUAUGUGGGGGUUAGUUUACUUGUUGGUCAAAAGCUGCUUCCAUCGUGCGGGCCCUGGAUUGGCUCGUGUGAAGAAUGCAGCAGCUCUUUCCCAUCGGCUGCCUUGUGUGGCUCCAGUGUCCGGAUUCAGGAACCUCAGGGGUAUAAGAAUAGCAUGUGCAAGAGACUUGCUCUCUCCUUUUGUCCCCUGCGCACGAUUUAUACUGCGGUCACGACCAGUGCUGAAGAACCAUUGUGAAGAUGUGUUCCAGACUUAGAUGGCCCGCAUGCGCUAUUAGCUAAGUAUCUGUUUGAAUAUUUAAUUUUGUAGUUUGUGCAACUUGGGGGACUUGGAUGUUUGGUCCAAUCUUUUACUGUUUGUAAAUAAGUGAUUAUUAUGUUUAUUCAUAAUCAGUUUCUUCCGUUGUGCUCAACAAACCCAUGAGCCCACUUCCACAUUAUACUCCUGCUACUGAACACAAGCCCAUUUCUUUCAGACACAGAAGUAUUAACAGUUAAAUCCAUCCAUUGUGCACAAAAGGUUAAUCCUGACCAGACACUUUAACCACAUUAAUAUUCAUCACAACGAGCUGAAACAUUAAUGUGGUGCUUCAUUGCUCUAGACUUAAAGGAGGAGGAAAUAACAUAUAAAGAUGUAGCCGGGAGAGAAAGAUAAAUGAGAAAAAAAUUAAUUUUUGAAAUAGGAUUUUAGUUUGCUUCUGUUAUAGAGGCUGCACGUGACAGUUGUUCAUUUUAUGUGCAGCAGUUUGAGAUACUUCCACAAGAUGGGUGCAGAAAAACUGUAUGAAUGCAUGUCUUUCUUUACUGGUUAUUGGGAAACUCAAUGAUCUUGUGUCAUAUGGAAUCACAAAUUGCAGAGACAAAAUGGCCAGGAUAAAAUGUGGAGAAGUAAGGGUGCAGAUAUUCAGGUUUUUAUCACAUUGUACCAGAAUUUCCUGGAGAAAUAACGAUGUGCUUAUGAUGAAAACUGUUGUUGAUUGACAUAAUAUUCUGGCAACAAAAUUGAGAAGCAAAUUGCUGGAUAAUUUUACUACUUUAUACUAAAUUUUUCUAACCUGUAAACACAUUGUUAAUGUCCCCAUGCAUGUACAUAUGUUGUUGCUUUUGAAUGAACCUCAUCAGAAUUUUUAAGGCUACUAUUUCAUGGUCUAAGGACCCUGGUAAUGAUGUGAUUUAUGAUUCUAACUCAAGCUCAGGUCUAGAAACAUUGAUGAAGAUAUCAAGUUGUUUCCGGUUUUAUACACUUAAAAAAAAGGGAAAAAUAAAUCCAAAAUAAAUGUUCAAUCCCUGUGUACGUGACUUUCACAAAAAAACCUGUCAGAUUGUCAAAUCAACAGAUUAAGUUCCAGAGCUGGUUGCAUGUCUGUUUUUCAAAUAUGGAUACAUU